GACGAACGCUGGCGGCGUGCUUAACACAUGCAAGUCGAACGGAAAGGCCCUGCUUGCAGGGUACUCGAGUGGCGAACGGGUGAGUAACACGUGGGUGAUCUGCCCUGUACUUCGGGAUAAGCCUGGGAAACUGGGUCUAAUACCUGAUAUGAGCCAUGUUUAGUGUGAUGGUUGGAAAGUUUUUUCGGUGUAGGGUGAGCUCGCGGUCUAUCAGCUUGUUGGUGCGGUGAUGGCCUACCAAGGCGGCGACGGGUAGCCGGCCUGUGGGGGUGGACGGCCACAUUGGGACUGAGAUACGGCCGAGACUCGUACGGGAGGCAGCAGUGGGGAAUAUUGAACAAUGGGCGCAAGCCUGAUGCAGCGGCGCCGCGUGGUGGAUGACGGCCUUCGGGUUGUAAACUCCUUUCGCUAGGAACGACGCUUUUUGUGACGGUACCUAGAUAAUAAGCACCGGCUAACUACGUG
Molecule: ribosomal RNA, 465 nt
Filed under: uncultured bacterium
Lineage: Bacteria
Description: partial 16S ribosomal RNA
Rfam family: Bacterial small subunit ribosomal RNA
Source: RNAcentral